Molecule: ribosomal RNA, 488 nt
Filed under: uncultured bacterium
Lineage: Bacteria
Description: partial 16S ribosomal RNA
Rfam family: Bacterial small subunit ribosomal RNA
Source: RNAcentral
GACGAACGCUGGCGGCGUGCUUAAUACAUGCAAGUCGAACGGACAGGCCAUGCUCUUGUGGGUUGCUCGAGUGGCGAACGGGUGAGUAAAACGUGAGUAAACUGUACUUGUCAUUGGGAUAAAUUCUGGAAACUGGGGCUCAUAUCGGGUAGGAGCUCCUGCUGCACGGUGGGGGAUGGUAAGUUACGGUGGUUGGGGCUGUUAUCGAGGGGUAUCAGCUUGUUGGUGAGGUAGUGACUUAACAAGUGUAUGAAGGGUACGCGGCCUGAGAGGGUGAUGGGCCACCCGGGAACUGAGACACGGUCAAUACUACUACGGGAGGCAGCAGUAGGGAAUGUUCCGCAAUGGGCGAAAGCAUGACGGAGCAAGGCCGAGUGAGUGAUGACGGCCUUGGGAUCGUAAAGAUCGGCUAUUAGGGGAAAACCACUGUGGACUGAGAUGAGGCCGGAUUGACGGUACCUAGUAAGAAAGCACCGGCUAACUACGUG